GACGAACGCUGGCGGCGUGCCUAAUACAUGCAAGUAGAACGCUGAAGAGAGGAGCUUGCUCUUCUUGGAUGAGUUGCGAACGGGUGAGUAACGCGUAGGUAACCUGCCUGGUAGCGGGGGAUAACUAUUGGAAACGAUAGCUAAUACCGCAUAAAAUUGAUUAUUGCAUGAUAAUUAAUUGAAAGAUGCAACUGCAUCACUACCAGAUGGACCUGCGUUGUAUUAGCUAGUUGGUGAGGUAACGGCUCACCAAGGCGACGAUACAUAGCCGACCUGAGAGGGUGAUCGGCCACACUGGGACUGAGACACGGCCCAGACUCCUACGGGAGGCAGCAGUAGGGAAUCUUCGGCAAUGGGGGGAACCCUGACCGAGCAACGCCGCGUGAGUGAAGAAGGUUUUCGGAUCGU
Molecule: ribosomal RNA, 408 nt
Filed under: Streptococcus sanguinis
Lineage: Bacteria; Bacillati; Bacillota; Bacilli; Lactobacillales; Streptococcaceae
Description: bacterial SSU rRNA
Rfam family: Bacterial small subunit ribosomal RNA
Source: RNAcentral